CAAGACCUGCACUUUUGGAGCGGCCGAUGUCUGAUUAGCUAGUUGGUGGGGUAAUGGCCUACCAAAGCUUCGAUCAGUAGCUGGUCUGAGAGGACGGCCAGCCACACUGGGACUGAGACACGGCCCAGACUCCUACGGGAGGCAGCAGUGGGGAAUUUUGGACAAUGGGCGCAAGCCUGAUCCAGCCAUGCCGCGUGAGUGAAGAAGGCCUUCGGGUUGUAAAGCUCUUUCAGCCGGGAAGAAAAGGUUGCGACUAAUAAUCGCAAUUCAUGACGGUACCGAGAGAAGAAGCACCGGCUAACUACGUGCCAGCAGCCGCGGUAAUACGUAGGGUGCGAGCGUUAAUCGGAAUUACUGGGCGUAAAGGGUGCGCAGGCGGUUUUGUAAGUCAGAUGUGAAAUCCCCGGGCUUAACCUGGGAACU
RNAcentral lists this ribosomal RNA (423 nucleotides) under uncultured bacterium. RNAcentral describes it as "bacterial SSU rRNA". It matches the Rfam family "Bacterial small subunit ribosomal RNA", at positions 207 to 622 of the family's 1533-position model. The record is from RNAcentral.